Non-coding RNA from Peromyscus maniculatus bairdii (prairie deer mouse), 835 nucleotides. NCBI's taxonomy places the organism in Eukaryota, Metazoa, Chordata, Mammalia, Rodentia, Cricetidae. The record is from RefSeq and is a predicted model, not a curated record.
UCCUCCAACCACCAUGAAGGGGAAAGAGGCAGGAGAUUGGUUCAGUCACAAUGGCCCGUGGUCCAAUGGGCUAUGCUUACCUAAGCACAUCUCCAUGGAAACCUCAGACAUGGGUCAGCGUGUCCAGGCUGCUGAACUGUCCACUUGAUGGGGGGUGGGGUGGCACAGCUGGGUUGUAUGGGGCAGGAGCUUGGCUCAUCUGGAAUUCACUGUAGGUUACUCUUCAUUACAUUCUUCAUGCUGCCUUUGUUACAGAGACUAGUAUAAGGACAAGUCUCACUGAGCUCAGUGAGCCACUCUACCAAGCUGGUGAAACUGCAGAGCGGUUGUAGGCACCGCCCCCGCCCCCUUCACUAUCUGAUCAGUCAGCAGUACAGGGACACAGUUUUGACAGUAGACAGGACAUCCCCAGAUGUGGCUCUGAAGAACUUCAGCUUACAAACUCAGAAUUUCGGCUGUAUAUUUAGGAACUGAGGUCUAAGAACUAGCAGUUACUACUUCCAGGCAGAGCUUGAAGACCUCAUACAACCUUGUCAGGUCACAACUUCCAUGAACUCUAUUUAUGUACUUACUGAACUUGAGAAGGAAUUGUGAACUGCUGCUCCUUCUGGACACGUCCAGCGAUGGAUGACAGACAGGAUCAGGGCCAAGAAUUCCAUUAGAAUGCAGAUGGUGCCAAGGAUGCAAUUUGUAAAGUCACACUAGGACAGCCAUGCCCAACAGAGACUCAGUGGUUAAGGAAGAGAUGGAGAAGUUGUGAUGUGAGUAGCUGCUUGCCUCAACCUCUGCCCGACUAUGGACUGUAACAUGGAGCUGAAUAAAUAAUCCCCUUCCC